CACAGCCCUGCUGUCACAUAAAAGGAAUAAAGAGGUGCUUGUUUCUGAGCCACUUACCAUUUGUUCUCAAUUCCACAGCACAAGCGCGUGGCUGGUGCGCAGCUCCUGGAUCAGCUCCAGCCGCUUCUCUUUCCCUUCAAACAUCUGGAUCAAAUCAAACCAGAGACAGACUUGCAAAUCAGCAUCCCCUGUGCCAGGCACAAGGCCGCGCCUGCAGGUGACUCGUGGGGCACUUCAAAAUCUUUCUUGAAGCAGUAAGUAC
Camelus dromedarius (Arabian camel) is the source of this 262-nucleotide long non-coding RNA. RefSeq lists it as uncharacterized. The transcript is spliced from 3 exons. The record is from RefSeq and is a predicted model, not a curated record. Lineage: Eukaryota; Metazoa; Chordata; Mammalia; Artiodactyla; Camelidae.